UACGUAGGCAGCAAGCGUUGUUCGGAGUUACUGGGCGUAAAGAGUAUGUAGGCGGUGUCCUAAGUUCGGUGUGAAAUCUCCCCGGCUCAACUGGGAGGGUGCGCCGAAGACUGGGAUGCUGGAGUCUCGGAGAGGAACGCGGAAUUCCUGGUGUAGCGGUGAAAUGCGUAGAUAUCAGGAGGAACACCAGUGGUGUAGACGGCGUUCUGGACGAGUACUGACGCUGAGAUACGAAAGCGUGGGGAGCAAACGGG
Molecule: ribosomal RNA, 254 nt
Filed under: uncultured bacterium
Lineage: Bacteria
Description: partial 16S ribosomal RNA
Rfam family: Bacterial small subunit ribosomal RNA
Source: RNAcentral